RNAcentral lists this ribosomal RNA (380 nucleotides) under uncultured eukaryote. RNAcentral describes it as "partial 18S ribosomal RNA". It matches the Rfam family "Eukaryotic small subunit ribosomal RNA", at positions 592 to 976 of the family's 1831-position model. The record is from RNAcentral.
CAAUAGCGUAUAUUAAAGUUGUUGCAGUUAGAACGCUCGUAGUCGGAUUUCGGGGCGGGCCGACCGGUCUGCCGAUGGGUACGCACUGGUCGGCGCGUCCUUCCUUCCGGAGACCGUUCCUACUCUUAACUGAGCGGGGGCGGGAGACGGAUCGUUUACUUUGAAAAAAUCAGAGUGUUUCAAGCAGGCAGCUCGCUCUUGCAUGGAUUAGCAUGGGAUAAUGAAAUAGGACUUUGGUGCUAUUUUGUUGGUUUCGAACACCGAAGUAAUGAUUAAAAGGGACAGUCAGGGGCACUCGUAUUCCGCCGAGAGAGGUGAAAUUCUCAGACCAGCGGAAGACGAACUACUGCGAAAGCGUUUGCCAGGGAUGUUUUCACUGA